UUCAACUUUACCCUUUCUUCAAAUCAAUCAAAUUAGGGCUUCAGUUAGCAGCCCUCACUUAUUCAUCUUCUCAAGGUAGCAUGGAAGACUUCAUUGCAGGCUCUACAUCACCAGUGCCGAACAACCACCUCGUCGCCUCUGUCGUAGCCACCUCUAGGUAGAUGAGUCGCCGUCAAAGUUCAUCUUCCUAGUCCAUGUGUUCUCAUCUCCUCAUUUUCUCCUACAUAGGGCAAUGUUCGAGAAACCCAGCUGCAGCCUCUGCCAUGUUGCUGUCGAAGUCAACCACCAACUUGUUGUCAUCAUAGCUUCUGUGCCGUAGUCUUUGAUUUGGAUUCAUCAAAAUUAAGCUUCAGUUCUUCACUUUUGCUCCAUAAUGCAAGUGGAGGUCAAACAGCGAAAGGACAUGCCUCGCACUCUGAAGCCGGUGCAAGUGGAGGAAGCACAAGGCGUUAUGGGAAGAAGAGGUAGCAAUUUGAUGUUUUAGAGAGGAUGACUGACCAUAUCCAGCAAUCCUCAUCUGAGCAAAGGAAGAAUGCCAAACUACUUGCUGAUGCUAUCGUUGCUUGUCUUUUGGCAUGUAUUGAGUAGGUGAUGUAAUGCUUAAUACAAUAUGUAUGGUACUAUUCGUGUUAUUUAGCAAAAAAUAUUUCAAUUUAAGGGGGCUUUGUUAAUGAUCUUUCUUUCCUUCUAUGGUGUCAAAACUGUUUUAGUUUGUAUUAUAUGUGCAUGAAAAUUAUUACAUUAAUUCAGUUGCUUGUGUAUUGGAAAAGGGGUGAGAAUUAGUCUGGCUGUUUCAUGA
Arachis ipaensis is the source of this 799-nucleotide long non-coding RNA. RefSeq lists it as uncharacterized. Lineage: Eukaryota; Viridiplantae; Streptophyta; Magnoliopsida; Fabales; Fabaceae. The record is from RefSeq and is a predicted model, not a curated record.